This 384-nucleotide RNase P RNA is filed under the name bovine gut metagenome. RNAcentral's name for it is "Bacterial RNase P class A". It matches the Rfam family "Bacterial RNase P class A". From Rfam's summary of the family: Ribonuclease P (RNase P) is a ubiquitous endoribonuclease, found in archaea, bacteria and eukarya as well as chloroplasts and mitochondria. Its best characterised activity is the generation of mature 5'-ends of tRNAs by cleaving the 5'-leader elements of precursor-tRNAs. The record is from RNAcentral.
GCCGGACAGCCUGUCGCUGACGAUUCCACGGAGUCGGAAGAGGAAAGUCCGGGCAGCAUAGGGCAUCCCACUUCCUAAUAUAGAAGCAGUCCGUAAGGGUUGAGUAAUGCAGAAGAAAAUAACAACAGACACCUCUAUAGUUUCGGCUAUGUAGUGACUGAAAUGGUGAGAAGGUGAGGUAAGAGCUCACCAGCAGCAUGGUGACAUGCUGGCUGUGCAUCUUGGGAGCUGCAAGUUCAUGUAAACCACCGCCAUCAGGGUAGCCCGUCCGAUAGUUUCGGUGGAGGGUAGAACGCUUGAACCAUGAGGUGACUCAUGGCCUAGAUAAAUGACAGACACGCUUCUCUCGAGGAGCGAACAGAACCCGGCUUAUCGUCCGGCUGC